Molecule: ribosomal RNA, 884 nt
Filed under: uncultured Gammaproteobacteria bacterium
Lineage: Bacteria; Pseudomonadati; Pseudomonadota; Gammaproteobacteria
Description: bacterial SSU rRNA
Rfam family: Bacterial small subunit ribosomal RNA
Source: RNAcentral
CCUCUGGGACCAGCUUACCAUGCAGUCGACGGUAACGCGGGGGCAACCCUGGCGACGAGUGGCGGACGGGUGAGUAAUGCUUGGGAAUCUACCCAGUAGCGGGGGAUAACCUAGGGAAACUUAGGCUAAUACCGCAUACGACCUACGGGUGAAAGCAGGAGAUCGCAAGACCUUGCACUACUGGAUGAGCCCAAGUCGGAUUAGCUAGUUGGUGGGGUAACGGCCCACCAAGGCGACGAUCCGUAGCUGGUCUGAGAGGACGAUCAGCCACACUGGGACUGAGACACGGCCCAGACUCCUACGGGAGGCAGCAGUGGGGAAUAUUGGACAAUGGGGGCAACCCUGAUCCAGCAAUGCCGCGUGUGUGAAGAAGGCCUGCGGGUUGUAAAGCACUUUCAGUAGGGAAGAAAAGCUCGGAGCUAAUACCUCCGGGUCUUGACGUUACCUAAAGAAGAAGCACCGGCUAACUCCGUGCCAGCAGCCGCGGUAAUACGGAGGGUGCGAGCGUUAAUCGGAAUUACUGGGCGUAAAGCGCACGUAGGCGGUCGGAUAAGUCGGAUGUGAAAGCCCUGGGCUUAACCUGGGAACUGCAUUCGAUACUGUCCGGCUAGAGUAUGGGAGAGGGAAGCGGAAUUUCCGGUGUAGCGGUGAAAUGCGUAGAUAUCGGAAGGAACAUCAAUGGCGAAGGCAGCUUCCUGGCCCAAUACUGACGCUCAGGUGCGAAAGCGUGGGGAUCAAACAGGAUUAGAUACCCUGGUAGUCCACGCUGUAAACGAUGAGAACUAGAUGUUGGGAGGGUUUUGCCUCUCAGUGUCGCAGCUAACGCGUUAAGUUCUCCGCCUGGGGAGUACGGCCGCAAGGUUGAAACUCAAAGGAAUUGACGG